GGCAGAUCUGAGCCUUCGGGAGCUCUCUGCC
Molecule: unclassified non-coding RNA, 31 nt
Filed under: Human immunodeficiency virus 1
Lineage: Riboviria; Pararnavirae; Artverviricota; Revtraviricetes; Ortervirales; Retroviridae
Description: The excited state of HIV-1 transactivation response element (31-MER) from Human immunodeficiency virus 1 (PDB 8U3M, chain A)
Source: RNAcentral